CGAAAGCCUGACGGAGCAACGCCGCGUGGGGGAAGAAGGUUCUUGGAUUGUAAACCCCUUUUCUCAGGGAAGAAGUUCUGACGAUACCUGAGGAAUCAGCCUCGGCUAACUCCGUGCCAGCAGCCGCGGUAAUACGGAGGAGGCAAGCGUUAUCCGGAAUUAUUGGGCGUAAAGCGUCCGCAGGGGGCGCAUCAAGUCUGCUGUCAAAGGUCGGAGCUUAACUCCGGUUCGGCAGUGGAAACUGGUGCGCUAGAGGGCGACAGGGGUAGAGGGAAUUCCCAGUGUAGCGGUGAAAUGCGUAGAGAUUGGGAAGAACACCGGUGGCGAAAGCGCUCUACUGGGCCGUGACUGACACUGAGGGACGAAAGCUAGGGGAGCG
This 379-nucleotide ribosomal RNA is filed under the name uncultured cyanobacterium. RNAcentral's name for it is "bacterial SSU rRNA". It matches the Rfam family "Bacterial small subunit ribosomal RNA", at positions 376 to 770 of the family's 1533-position model. The record is from RNAcentral. Lineage: Bacteria; Bacillati; Cyanobacteriota.